GAGAGGACAUCGGAUUCUUCAAAGUGAUACACUCGACUUUGUGAUACGAGUUGGGCUACAUCCUUUGAUCGCUGAGGCUAGUCUUUUAUAAGGUACUGGGUGCUUCUGCAACGAUAGCAGGUGUUAUUGAUAUACCGACAGUGCAGGUAAGCAUGUGAGCGAGCACAAUGUUGAUAGGGUUUGUUAGCUCAGGUAGGUGGAGCUGUAGAUGGUGGCAAGGCAGGAGGUAGGGCAAUUCUAGUUCCUUUGUUUAGAGGG
RNAcentral lists this long non-coding RNA (258 nucleotides) under Carica papaya (papaya). Its description in RNAcentral is "long non-coding RNA (CPAP_LNC008108)". Lineage: Eukaryota; Viridiplantae; Streptophyta; Magnoliopsida; Brassicales; Caricaceae. The record is from RNAcentral.